GACGAACGCUGGCGGCUUGCUUAACACAUGCAAGUCGAACGGAAAGGCCCUGCUUUUGUGGGGUGCUCGAGUGGCGAACGGGUGAGUAACACGUGAGUAACCUGCCCUUGACUUUGGGAUAACUUCAGGAAACUGGGGCUAAUACCGGAUAGGAGCUCCUGCUGCAUGGUGGGGGUUGGAAAGUUUCGGCGGUUGGGGAUGGACUCGCGGCUUAUCAGCUUGUUGGUGGGGUAGUGGCUUACCAAGGCUUUGACGGGUAGCCGGCCUGAGAGGGUGACCGGCCACAUUGGGACUGAGAUACGGCCCAGACUCCUAUGGGAGGCAGCAGUGGGGAAUAUUGCACAAUGGGCGGAAGCCUGAUGCAGCAACGCCGCGUGCGGGAUGACGGCCUUCGGGUUGUAAACCGCUUUCGCCUGUGACGAAGCGUGAGUGACGGUAAUGGGUAAAGAAGCACCGGCUAACUACGUG
Molecule: ribosomal RNA, 468 nt
Filed under: uncultured bacterium
Lineage: Bacteria
Description: partial 16S ribosomal RNA
Rfam family: Bacterial small subunit ribosomal RNA
Source: RNAcentral